GAUGAACGCUGGCGGCGUGCCUAAUACAUGCAAGUCGAGCGAACGGACGAGAAGCUUGCUUCUCUGAUGUUAGCGGCGGACGGGUGAGUAACACGUGGAUAACCUACCUAUAAGACUGGGAUAACUUCGGGAAACCGGAGCUAAUACCGGAUGAUAUUUUGAACCGCAUGGUUCAAAAGUGAAAGACGGUCUUGCUGUCACUUAUAGAUGGAUCCGCGCUGCAUUAGCUAGUUGGUAAGGUAACGGCUUACCAAGGCAACGAUGCAUAGCCGACCUGAGAGGGUGAUCGGCCACACUGGAACUGAGACACGGUCCAGACUCCUACGGGAGGCAGCAGUAGGGAAUCUUCCGCAAUGGGCGAAAGCCUGACGGAGCAACGCCGCGUGAGUGAUGAAGGUCUUCGGAUCGUAAAACUCUGUGAUUAGGGAAGAACAGAUGUGUAAGUAACUGUGCACAGCUUGACGGUACCUAAUCAGAAAGCCACGGCUAACUACGUG
Molecule: ribosomal RNA, 497 nt
Filed under: uncultured bacterium
Lineage: Bacteria
Description: partial 16S ribosomal RNA
Rfam family: Bacterial small subunit ribosomal RNA
Source: RNAcentral